This 154-nucleotide ribosomal RNA is filed under the name uncultured bacterium. Its description in RNAcentral is "partial 16S rRNA". It matches the Rfam family "Bacterial small subunit ribosomal RNA", at positions 355 to 507 of the family's 1533-position model. The record is from RNAcentral.
UGAGGAAUAUUGGUCAAUGGGCGCAAGCCUGAACCAGCCAUGCCGCGUGCAGGAAGAAUGCCCCUAUGGGUUGUAAACUGCUUUUAUUUGGGAAUNAACCUCUUAACGUGUAGAGUNCUGACGGUACCAUAUGAUAAGCACCGCUAACUCCGUC